RNAcentral lists this long non-coding RNA (289 nucleotides) under Nicotiana benthamiana. Its description in RNAcentral is "long non-coding RNA (NBEN_LNC022511)". Lineage: Eukaryota; Viridiplantae; Streptophyta; Magnoliopsida; Solanales; Solanaceae. The record is from RNAcentral.
AAAAUAGUCGGCCACCUAACCUUCUACCCGAAUUCUCGAUCUCCACCAAUGUUAUCAAAUGCGAAAAGCACAAAAAAGCUCUAAGGUCCAUAGGGGCUUUAAGCACAAAGCGCAAAUAAAGCGUGAGCUUUAAUGGAAAAAAGUGCAACCAGAGAAAAAAUAAAAAUAUGUUUAUGUAUACAGAGCCGUGGUUAGACCAGCGAUGUUGUACGGGGCAGAGUGCUGGCCCGUGAAGAACUCCCAUGUCCAGAGAAUGAAGGUUGCUGAGAUGAGGAUGCUUAGGUGGNNN